GUCGUGGGCGUAGGAAAUUUGAGAGGAGCUGUCCUUAGUACGAGAGGACCGGGAUGGACAUACCUCUGGUGUACCAGUUGUCGUGCCAACGGCAUAGCUGGGUAGCUAUGUAUGGACGGGAUAAGUGCUGAAAGCAUCUAAGCAUGAAGCCCCCCUCAAGAUGAGAUUUCCCAACUUCGGUUAUAAGAUCCCUCAAAGAUGAUGAGGUUAAUAGGUUCGAGGUGGAAGCGUGGUGACACGUGGAGCUGACGAAUACUAAUCGAUCGAAGACUUAAUCAAAAUU
This 283-nucleotide ribosomal RNA is filed under the name Salmonella enterica subsp. enterica serovar Typhi. RNAcentral describes it as "partial 23S ribosomal RNA". It matches the Rfam family "Bacterial large subunit ribosomal RNA", at positions 2644 to 2925 of the family's 2925-position model. Lineage: Bacteria; Pseudomonadati; Pseudomonadota; Gammaproteobacteria; Enterobacterales; Enterobacteriaceae. The record is from RNAcentral.